AACGAACGUUAGCGGCGCGCCUAACACAUGCAAGUCGAGCGAGAAAGGGCUUCGGCCCCGGUACAGCGGCGCACGGGUGAGUAACACGUAGGUAAUCUACCUCAGAGUGGGGGAUAACCUUCCGAAAGGAGGGCUAAUACCGCAUGAGACCACGUCCACGCGAGUGGAUGGGGUCAAAGCCGGCCUCUUUACAAAAGCUGGCGCUUGGAGAUGAGCCUGCGGCCCAUCAGCUAGUUGGUAGGGUAAUGGCCUACCAAGGCAGAGACGGGUAGCUGGUCUGAGAGGAUGAUCAGCCACACUGGAACUGAGACACGGUCCAGACACCUACGGGUGGCAG
This 337-nucleotide ribosomal RNA is filed under the name uncultured Pseudomonadota bacterium. RNAcentral describes it as "bacterial SSU rRNA". It matches the Rfam family "Bacterial small subunit ribosomal RNA", at positions 29 to 351 of the family's 1533-position model. The record is from RNAcentral. Lineage: Bacteria; Pseudomonadati; Pseudomonadota.